Molecule: ribosomal RNA, 498 nt
Filed under: uncultured bacterium
Lineage: Bacteria
Description: partial 16S ribosomal RNA
Rfam family: Bacterial small subunit ribosomal RNA
Source: RNAcentral
GACGAACGCUGGCGGCGUGCCUAAUACAUGCAAGUCGAACGAGAGCGACCGGUGCUUGCUCUGGUCACUCUAGUGGCGAACGGGUGAGUAACACGUGGGUAACCUACCCAUCAGAGGGGGAUAACAUCCGGAAACGGGUGCUAAAACCGCAUAAGUUUUCGAACCGCAUGGUUCGAUGGUGAAAAGAGGUGUUGGCUUCUGUUGUUGGUUGAUCCCCCGGUGCAUUAGCUAGUUGUAGAGGUAACGGCUAACCAAGGCCGGGAUGCAUAGCCGACCUGAGAGGGUGAUCGGCCACAUUGGAACUGAGACACGGCCCAGACUCCUACGGGAGGCAGCAGUAGGGAAUCUUCCGCAAUGGACGCAAGUCUGACGGAGCAACGCCGCGUGAGUGAUGAAGGUUUUCGGAUCGUAAAACUCUGUUGUUAGGGAAGAACAAAUGCUAGAGUAACUGUGAACGUCUUGACGGUACCUAAUCAGAAAGCCACGGCUAACUACGUG